CGUCUCAGUUCAGAUUGCAGGCUGCAACCCGCCUGCAUGAAGUCGGAACUGCUAGUAAUCGCGGAUCAGCAUGCCGCGGUGAAUACGUUCCCGGGCCUUGUACACACCGCCCGUCACACCAUGAGAGCCGGGGGGACCCGAAGUCCGUAGCUUAACCGCAAGGAGGGCGCGGCCGAAGGUAAAACUGGUGAUUGGGGUGAAGUCGUAACAAGGUAUC
Molecule: ribosomal RNA, 217 nt
Filed under: uncultured bacterium
Lineage: Bacteria
Description: partial 16S ribosomal RNA
Rfam family: Bacterial small subunit ribosomal RNA
Source: RNAcentral